This 462-nucleotide ribosomal RNA is filed under the name uncultured bacterium. RNAcentral's name for it is "partial 16S ribosomal RNA". It matches the Rfam family "Bacterial small subunit ribosomal RNA", at positions 28 to 507 of the family's 1533-position model. The record is from RNAcentral.
GGCGAACGCUGGCGGCGUGCUUAACACAUGCAAGUCGAACGGAAAGGCCCUUCGGGGUACUCGAGUGGCGAACGGGUGAGUAACACGUGGAUGAUCUGCCCUGCACUUUGGGAUAAGCCUGGGAAACUGGGUCUAAUACCGAAUAGGACCACGUGCUUCAUGGUGUGUGGUGGAAAGCUUUUGCGGUGUGGGAUGGGCCCGCGGCCUAUCAGCUUGUUGGUGGGGUAAUGGCCUACCAAGGCGACGACGGGUAGCCGGCCUGAGAGGGUGACCGGCCACACUGGGACUGAGAUACGGCCCAGACUCCUACGGGAGGCAGCAGUGGGGAAUAUUGCACAAUGGGCGCAAGCCUGAUGCAGCGACGCCGCGUGAGGGAUGACGGCCUUCGGGUUGUAAACCUCUUUCAAUAGGGACGAAGCGCAAGUGACGGUACCUAUAGAAGAAGCACCGGCCAACUACGUG